CUGCUAGUUUGAUGUAGUUUCUGCGGACUGCGGUAUAUGCUCUAGUAUUAACAGUAGAAUAGAAGGGUUUUUGUUAACUAGGGAACCUUGUCUUUCAUGUCGUGUCAGUUCAUUUGUUCAUUUGACGCAGUAUACUUCAAUACAUGCUGAUGGCACGUGAUGACGUAAAACGCUCUUUGCACAAUGGUUACCUAAAGUGACAUCUCUAGCUUGCUGUGUUCCGUAUUGUAAGCAUAAGGUCAAAUUCGAAUAGGUUUAUUUCUGGUUCAUACCUAGUUCUAGUCGGUUUAGGAGUUGUACAGGGGAAUCAACGAGUUGGUCUCCUAGUCGUAUUCAGUUAGGCUGUUAGAUGUUGAGUCGGACUGGCCUCUGGCCGUGUAUAAGUACGGGCAUACGGUGCCUUGUUAUCCUAAUCCCAGAAAAUAAAAAAAGAGAAAAAACAGGCACGAUACGUGCCUGUGGCCAUCAAUUGAUCUUCGUGUGUGGCUUGGCGUGAGUGCUGGUUUGAUUGAUUUUGCUAGCUAGCUUGUACGUGCGCGUCUCGCCGGAAAUCAAUUAGCUUGCUGUUGUUGCUUGCGUGUGAGAAGUUUAGGCCUGAGUUCCAACACAUAUGUAUAUGCCUCC
This 624-nucleotide long non-coding RNA is filed under the name Brachypodium distachyon (stiff brome). RNAcentral's name for it is "long non-coding RNA (BDIS_LNC004234)". The record is from RNAcentral. Lineage: Eukaryota; Viridiplantae; Streptophyta; Magnoliopsida; Poales; Poaceae.